RNAcentral lists this non-coding RNA (30 nucleotides) under Rattus norvegicus (Norway rat). Lineage: Eukaryota; Metazoa; Chordata; Mammalia; Rodentia; Muridae. The record is from RNAcentral.
UGCCUAUACUUGUCUAUACUCGUUGACUCU